AAUAUUGGACAAUGGAGGCAACUCUGAUCCAGCCAUGCCGCGUGUAGGAAGACUGCCCUAUGGGUUGUAAACUACUUUUAUAGAGGAAGAAACCCCGAUAUGUAUAUCGGUCUGACGGUACUCUACGAAUAAGGAUCGGCUAACUCCGUGCCAGCAGCCGCGGUAAUACGGAGGAUCCAAGCGUUAUCCGGAAUCAUUGGGUUUAAAGGGUUCGUAGGCGGUUUUGUAAGUCAGUGGUGAAAGUUUUCGGCUCAACCGGAAAAUUGCCAUUGAUACUGCAAGACUUGAAUUAUUGUGAAGUGGUUAGAAUGUGUAGUGUAGCGGUGAAGUGCAUAGAUAUUACACAGAAUACCGAUUGCGAAGGCAGAUCACUAACAAUAUAUUGACGCUAAGGGACGAAAGCGUGGGUAGCGAACAGGAUUAGAUACCCUGGUAGUCCACGCCGUA
Molecule: ribosomal RNA, 447 nt
Filed under: uncultured marine bacterium
Lineage: Bacteria
Description: bacterial SSU rRNA
Rfam family: Bacterial small subunit ribosomal RNA
Source: RNAcentral